UCAGAAAAUUAGUAUGACUAAAUCUAAAACUCCCAAAGUUUUUAUUUUUAUUAAAACUAUUUUCUG
This 66-nucleotide transfer RNA is filed under the name Lamprotula gottschei. Its description in RNAcentral is "tRNA-Pro". Lineage: Eukaryota; Metazoa; Mollusca; Bivalvia; Unionida; Unionidae. The record is from RNAcentral.